Molecule: ribosomal RNA, 330 nt
Filed under: uncultured bacterium
Lineage: Bacteria
Description: bacterial SSU rRNA
Rfam family: Bacterial small subunit ribosomal RNA
Source: RNAcentral
AGAGUUUGAUCAUGGCUCAGAAUCAACGCUGGCGGCGUGCCUAACACAUGCAAGUCGAACGAGAAAGGGUAGCAAUACCUGAGUAAAGUGGCGCACGGGUGAGUAACACGUGACUAACCUACCCUGGAGUGGGGAAUAACUGAGGGAAACCUUAGCUAAUACCGCAUAAUACCUACGGGUCAAAGGAGCAAUUCGCUUCAGGAGGGGGUCGCGGCCGAUUAGUUAGUUGGCGGGGUAAUGGCCCACCAAGACAGUGAUCGGUAUCCGGCCUGAGAGGGCGCACGGACACACUGGAACUGAAACACGGUCCAGACUCCUACGGGAGGCAGC